AGAAGGACACCACAGUCCCAACAGCCAACACAAGGCUAGGUAGAAGGACACCUCAGUCCCAUCAGCCAACAUAAGGCUAGGUAGAAGGACACCUCAGUCCCAACAGCCAACAUAAGGCUAGGUAGAAGGACUCCUCAUUUUAAAUCCCUCAAUAUAAAUAUCCUAAUUUGACUUUAUAUGAUAAAAUAUAAUUUCCUUUUAUUCCACAACACUUCAUGAAGGAACCCAUCAACAAUCCUGUUCACUUCACACUGCACUCAAAAAGGCACAUUUUCUUUCUUAAGUGUUUUUUUUUCAUUCCUAUUCAUCACCUACCUGCAUCUUCAUCAUAGCCUGGUCUCAGAUCAGUUGGUGUUCUAGCCAACUCCAUACAACACAAACAGUUUGGCGUGCAUUGAGGCUGAGUAACAAGGAGCUGGCGUGAUGGCACAUACAGACUGGAACUCAGGCUAUAUUCAGCUCACUCUUUUUUUUCCCCAUCAGGAAAAAAGAAAGUGAAGGACAAACAGGAACAGGAAAUGUCACAGAUCACCAUUAGGUUGAAUGAAUUAUAUCACAGCCAAGAUCUAUUUUAAUGACCAGAGGCCGAGGCACUGGAAACUAAAGGGACUACUUUUUGUAACACAGUAAAUACAAGAUGGCGGCUGAUGUUGCGUAACUGUACAAUAGUGUCUUCUCUGCAGACUGCAGUCAUUACCAAUAUGUAUUUGGGUACUUUUUAUCAAACAUCAUUUUGGUGUUUUUCACUGUAUGAGAAGAUCAAUAAGGAGAAACAGAAACCUACAUUUUGGGAUGACAAGUGUACGAUUGUGAUUUAUUCUCCGAUCUGUCUGUAAUUCCUGCAUUCUCUCAACCCUGUUCUAUUGGUUGCACAGUGACCUAUAUUUCUC
Molecule: long non-coding RNA, 890 nt
Organism: Oncorhynchus tshawytscha (Chinook salmon)
Lineage: Eukaryota; Metazoa; Chordata; Actinopteri; Salmoniformes; Salmonidae
Source: Ensembl